RNAcentral lists this ribosomal RNA (301 nucleotides) under uncultured bacterium. RNAcentral's name for it is "partial 16S ribosomal RNA". It matches the Rfam family "Bacterial small subunit ribosomal RNA", at positions 509 to 809 of the family's 1533-position model. The record is from RNAcentral.
CAGCCGCCGCGGGAAUACGGAGGGUGCAAGCGUUAAUCGGAAUUACUGGGCGUAAAGCGCACGCAGGCGGUUUGUUAAGUCAGAUGUGAAAUCCCCGAGCUUAACUUGGGAACUGCAUUUGAAACUGGCAAGCUAGAGUCUUGUAGAGGGGGGUAGAAUUCCAGGUGUAGCGGUGAGAUGCGUAGAGAUCUGGAGGAAUACCGGUGGCGAAGGCGGCCCCCUGGACAAAGACUGACGCUCAGGUGCGAAAGCGUGGGGAGCAAACAGGAUUAGAUACCCGCGUAGUCCCUGUCUCUUAUAA